This 791-nucleotide long non-coding RNA is filed under the name Triticum aestivum (bread wheat). RNAcentral describes it as "long non-coding RNA (TAES_LNC013343)". Lineage: Eukaryota; Viridiplantae; Streptophyta; Magnoliopsida; Poales; Poaceae. The record is from RNAcentral.
UAAGGAAUUACUAAUUAACUAUUGUCCAAAUUGAUGUUCUGAACUUAGAAUCACUCCAUGUUGCUCAUACUUAUGCAUCCAUCCAUGCAAAGAAGAGAUGGAUUAAGAUGCGGGCUCUAAGAACAUUACAAAAAGAAAAGAACAGAAAGUUGCAGGCUCUGUGGCUGCAUGCCCUGUUAAUCCAUGGUGCAGUUUGACGUCGCGUAGAGGAGGAGCAGCCGUACAAGGCCGGCGGCCGUUGCUGCUGGAUACGUGCACGGAGGCGGAGGCCAUGCGGCUCGAGGACUACGCGGGACGACCUGCACAAGCAGGUGGACGGACUGACGGAGUCGAGCACGGCGUCGGCUUCUGCAAUCCGCACCAUGGACGAGCUGCUGCUGUCGGAGGCGGCGAAGGGAAGGGUCGUCCCAUCCCGUCCGCGCCGUGGUGUACGACGUGUCCCUUCAGUCGUGGUCAGAGGAGCUGCAGCGGCAACGCGGUGGCCGGCUGCAGAGCACAAGCAGCAGCAUCAAAGCACAUCACGGCAACACGGUGGCCGGCGGCAGAACACACGCCGGAAUGUAGCCGCCGCGGGAGGGGGAGCAGGAUAGAGAAGACUCACCUCGCCGGUCAGACUCGCCGGGAUGUAGUCCCCGCGGAAAACCAUGGCCAUCGGCCGUCGAGGACUACCGAGCGCGACUCGCCGUCGAGUAGCCGCCGCGGUCUCCUGGCGUUGCUGCCGGCGAGAGGAAGGGGAUGAGUCGUUCCUGGUCAAUCUGGGAGCAUGGGCAUUUUGGUCAUUAUAUGCGGGA